RNAcentral lists this microRNA precursor (115 nucleotides) under Podarcis lilfordi (Lilford's wall lizard). The record is from RNAcentral. Lineage: Eukaryota; Metazoa; Chordata; Lepidosauria; Squamata; Lacertidae.
UGUCCAGCAGCACCUUAGAGACCAACUAAGUUUCUUCUGGGUAUAAGCUUUCGUGUGCAUGCACACUUUUUAUACCCAGAACAAACUUAGUUGGUCUCUAAGGUGCCACUGGACA